AUGUACCACUCACACUGAGGUUCUGAUUGCGCCGUCCAUGCCCACCUGACGAUCGCUCGCUACGUUUUGUUAGCG
Molecule: small RNA, 75 nt
Filed under: Xanthomonas vasicola
Lineage: Bacteria; Pseudomonadati; Pseudomonadota; Gammaproteobacteria; Lysobacterales; Lysobacteraceae
Also listed under: 7 other names
Description: sX9 sRNA
Rfam family: Xanthomonas sRNA sX9
Source: RNAcentral